GGGGGUGUUUAUGGAUUCGACGGGAAUAGUUCGGGCAUCAGAAGCGAGCCGUGGGGUCGGCCACGUUAAAACGCAACCGCCAAUAAUAACUGGCAAACAAAACACACAACUAGCUGCUGCCUAAGCACCAGCUGCUCUACCACACAAUCGCCCAUGUUGUGUGACUAGGGCUCACCUACCGUGGGAUACGCCUAAGGCUUCCGUCUGGAGCUAAGGGAAGAGAACCAAUCAGACUAGCUUCAUAAGUAGGUUGUCACUUGCCAGCUCAUGAAGCGAAUCUCCCUCAGGUGACUGCGCUCGGAGAAACUGAUGUUGCGUUAUUUUCGGACAGGGGUUCGACUCCCCUCACCUCCACCA
RNAcentral lists this transfer-messenger RNA (357 nucleotides) under Rubeoparvulum massiliense. Its description in RNAcentral is "Standard tmRNA". It matches the Rfam family "transfer-messenger RNA". Rfam says of the family: Bacterial tmRNA, also known as 10Sa RNA or SsrA, is named for its dual tRNA and mRNA-like properties. The record is from RNAcentral. Lineage: Bacteria; Bacillati; Bacillota; Bacilli; Caryophanales; Bacillaceae.